AUUGAACGCUGGCGGCAUGCUUUACACAUGCAAGUCGAACGGUAACAGGCCUUCGGGUGCUGACGAGUGGCGAACGGGUGAGUAAUGCAUCGGAACGUACCCAGAGGUGGGGGAUAACGCAGCGAAAGCUGUGCUAAUACCGCAUGUGAUCUGAGGAUGAAAGCGGGGGACCGAGCAGCAAUGUUUGGCCUCGCGCCUUUGGAGCGGCCGAUGUCGGAUUAGUUAGUUGGUGGGGUAAAGGCCUACCAAGGCGACGAUCCGUAGCUGGUCUGAGAGGACGACCAGCCACACUGGGACUUAGACACGGCCCAGACUCCUACGGGAGGCAGCAGUGGGGAAUUUUGGACAAUGGGCGCAAGCCUGAUCCAGCAAUGCCGCGUGCGGGAAGAAGGCCUUCGGGUUGUAAACCGCUUUUGGCAGGAACGAAACGGUGUCCGCUAAUACCGGGCGCUAAUGACGGUACCUGCAGAAUAAGCACCGGCUAACUACGUG
This 492-nucleotide ribosomal RNA is filed under the name uncultured bacterium. RNAcentral describes it as "partial 16S ribosomal RNA". It matches the Rfam family "Bacterial small subunit ribosomal RNA", at positions 30 to 507 of the family's 1533-position model. The record is from RNAcentral.